Molecule: ribosomal RNA, 468 nt
Filed under: uncultured bacterium
Lineage: Bacteria
Description: partial 16S ribosomal RNA
Rfam family: Bacterial small subunit ribosomal RNA
Source: RNAcentral
GACGUACGCUGGCGGCGUGCUUAACACAUGCAAGUCGAACGGAAAGGCCCUGCUUUUGUGGGGUGCUCGAGUGGCGAACGGGUGAGUAACACGUGAGUAACCUGCCCUUGACUUUGGGAUAACUUCAGGAAACUGGGGCUCAUACCGGAUAGGAGCUCCUGCUGCAUGGUGGGGGUUGGAAAGUUUCGGCGGUUGGGGAUGGACUCGCGGCUUAUCAGCUUGUUGGUGGGGUAGUGGCUUACCAAGGCUUUGACGGGUAGCCGGCCUGAGAGGGUGACCGGCCACAUUGGGACUGAGAUACGGCCCAGACUCCUACGGGAGGCAGCAGUGGGGACUAUUGCACCAUGGGCGGAAGACUGAUGCAGCAACGCCGCGUGCGGGAUGACGGCCUUCGGGUUGUAAACCGCUUUCGCCUGUGACGAAGCGUGCGUGACGGUAAUGGGUAAAGAAGCACCGGCUAACCACGUG